Suncus etruscus (white-toothed pygmy shrew) is the source of this 107-nucleotide small nuclear RNA. The record is from RefSeq and is a predicted model, not a curated record. Lineage: Eukaryota; Metazoa; Chordata; Mammalia; Eulipotyphla; Soricidae.
GUGCUUGCUUCAGCUGCACAUAUACUAAAAUUGGAAUAUACAGAGAAAAUUAACAUGGCCCCUUGUGCAAGGAUGACUUGCAAAUUCAUGAAGCAUUUUAUAUUUUU